This 476-nucleotide ribosomal RNA is filed under the name uncultured organism. RNAcentral's name for it is "partial 16S ribosomal RNA". It matches the Rfam family "Bacterial small subunit ribosomal RNA", at positions 329 to 797 of the family's 1533-position model. The record is from RNAcentral.
ACGUACACUCCUACGGGAGGCAGCAGUGGGGAAUAUUGCACAAUGGGCGCAAGCCUGAUGCAGCCAUGCCGCGUGUAUGAAGAAGGCCUUCGGGUUGUAAAGUACUUUCAGCGGGGAGGAAGGCAAUACGGUUAAUAACCGUGUUGAUUGACGUUACCCGCAGAAGAAGCACCGGCUAACUCUGUGCCAGCAGCCGCGGUAAUACGGAGGGUGCAAGCGUUAAUCGGAAUUACUGGGCGUAAAGCGCACGCAGGCGGUCUGUCAAGUCGGAUGUGAAAUCCCCGGGCUCAACCUGGGAACUGCAUUCGAAACUGGCAGGCUUGAGUCUUGUAGAGGGGGGUAGAAUUCCAGGUGUAGCGGUGAAAUGCGUAGAGAUCUGGAGGAAUACCGGUGGCGAAGGCGGCCCCCUGGACAAAGACUGACGCUCAGGUGCGAAAGCGUGGGGAGCAAACAGGAUUAGAAACCCUUGUAGUCCC